AUGCUGCCGGCUGGCGCCAAGUUUGAUCCCAUGGAUCAGGAGCUAAUCGAGCACCUUGAGGCCAAAGUGAGUGCUAACAGUGCGAGAUCUCACCCUCUCAUCGAUUUGUUCAUACCAACCAUCAAUAGCAAGCACGACAUAUGCUACACCAAUCCUGAGAAGCUUCCAAUGCAAUUCCAGGGUGUUCAAAAGGGGCACGUGGACGCCUCGCAAGAUACAACCGGAGUGCGGCAUGCACGUGAUGUGGCACAAGACCGGCAAUACCUUGCCAGUGAUGGUCAACGGCCGGCAGAUGGGCAACAAAAAGGUUCUGGUGCUGCACACCAACAAGAACUGCGACUAGCAGAGGACCAACUGGGUGAUGCACCAGUAACACCUCGGGGACCUGGAGCAAGAGAAGGAGCAGGAGCUGGUCAAGCAAGUUUCAACUGGGCUGUAGACUGCCUAGGCUUGUUUUUGUUUUUAACAGGCCCAAACCAUGACGACAACAGGGCACAGUGA
RNAcentral lists this ribosomal RNA (501 nucleotides) under Triticum aestivum (bread wheat). RNAcentral describes it as "partial small subunit ribosomal RNA". The record is from RNAcentral. Lineage: Eukaryota; Viridiplantae; Streptophyta; Magnoliopsida; Poales; Poaceae.